This 512-nucleotide ribosomal RNA is filed under the name Stenotrophomonas maltophilia. RNAcentral describes it as "bacterial SSU rRNA". It matches the Rfam family "Bacterial small subunit ribosomal RNA", at positions 36 to 551 of the family's 1533-position model. The record is from RNAcentral. Lineage: Bacteria; Pseudomonadati; Pseudomonadota; Gammaproteobacteria; Lysobacterales; Lysobacteraceae.
CUGCGGUAGCUACCAUGCACUCGACGGCAGCACAGGAGAGCUUGCUCUCUGGGUGGCGAGUGGCGGACGGGUGAGGAAUACAUCGGAAUCUACCUUUUCGUGGGGGAUAACGUAGGGAAACUUACGCUAAUACCGCAUACGACCUUCGGGUGAAAGCAGGGGACCUUCGGGCCUUGCGCGGAUAGAUGAGCCGAUGUCGGAUUAGCUAGUUGGCGGGGUAAAGGCCCACCAAGGCGACGAUCCGUAGCUGGUCUGAGAGGAUGAUCAGCCACACUGGAACUGAGACACGGUCCAGACUCCUACGGGAGGCAGCAGUGGGGAAUAUUGGACAAUGGGCGCAAGCCUGAUCCAGCCAUACCGCGUGGGUGAAGAAGGCCUUCGGGUUGUAAAGCCCUUUUGUUGGGAAAGAAAAGCAGCCAGUUAAUACCUGGUUGUUCUGACGGUACCCAAAAAUAAACCGGCUACUUCGUGCCAGCAGCCGCGGUAAUAGAAGGUGCAGCGUUACUCGGAUU